Molecule: ribosomal RNA, 58 nt
Filed under: Lactarius zonarioides
Lineage: Eukaryota; Fungi; Basidiomycota; Agaricomycetes; Russulales; Russulaceae
Also listed under: 1 other name
Description: partial 28S ribosomal RNA
Rfam family: Eukaryotic large subunit ribosomal RNA
Source: RNAcentral
UGACCUCAAAUCGGGUGAGACUACCCGCUGAACUUAAGCAUAUCAAUAAGCGGAGGAA